CGAGACGAGACCCACCCCAAGACGUCAGCGAAACCACGAAACGACUACACAGACCCACCCCUGUGGAGGGAGAGGGCUUUCAACGCACACAACACCACAGAGCAAUGGUCGAACAAAAGAGGGCUUUCAAGGCACAAAACACCACAGAGCAAUGGUCGAUUGGAAGAGAGCGAGAGGAGACCGCGAGAGAGGAAGGAAGACCCUGUUUCAUCAAAACCAGAGAGCAAGGAAAGAGAAAUGGAAAAGAAACCGCGAAAUUGAAAAUAAAUCAAACUUUAUUUCAAUUUUGCCCUUCCUUCAGAAUUAAAAAGAAUUAAUUUUUUAAAACAAAAACACCCAAUGACACACCGACACCUGUCCAGUGUCAAAGUAGUGUCAAAUAAGGGUGUUGAAAUAUCAUUUCGCUUAUAGAAACUAUGUUAUACUAGUUUAAUUAAAAUCAGUUGUUUUAUUUUUUAUUUUUAUAAAUACUUAUCUAAAU
This 481-nucleotide long non-coding RNA is filed under the name Vigna radiata. RNAcentral's name for it is "long non-coding RNA (VRAD_LNC003318)". Lineage: Eukaryota; Viridiplantae; Streptophyta; Magnoliopsida; Fabales; Fabaceae. The record is from RNAcentral.